Long non-coding RNA from Talpa occidentalis (Iberian mole), 230 nucleotides. RefSeq lists it as uncharacterized. The record is from RefSeq and is a predicted model, not a curated record. NCBI's taxonomy places the organism in Eukaryota, Metazoa, Chordata, Mammalia, Eulipotyphla, Talpidae. The transcript is spliced from 3 exons.
GGGAAACCAACGAAACAGGGCCCCAGUGGAGGGCACAGCCUGCUUGGCCUUUCCAGCUCUGCCCCAGGAGCCACCCUACUCCUCUCAGAGAUUGGAGACUGCUGCCCACACCCCCAGGCUGAGGCCAGAACUCACUCCCAAGCACUCAGCAAUGUCAGUCCCUGAUACAUCCUCAGAACCGCAGAGCUUGGCAAUGACUCUCUCAGGUGAUGGGAGAAUGUCAAGUCCCC